AACGAACGCUGGCGGCAUGCCUAACACAUGCAAGUCGAACGAGACCUUCGGGUCUAGUGGCGCACGGGUGCGUAACGCGUGGGAACCUGCCCUUAGGUUCGGAAUAACUCCCCGAAAGGGGUGCUAAUACCGGAUAAUGUCUUCGGACCAAAGAUUUAUCGCCUUUGGAUGGGCCCGCGUUGGAUUAGCUAGUUGGUAGGGUAAAAGCCUACCAAGGCGACGAUUCAUAGCUGGUCUGAGAGGAUGAUCAGCCACACUGGGACUGAGACACGGCCCAGACUCCUACGCGAGGGAGCAGUGGGGAAUAGUGGAAAAUGGGCGAAAGCCUGAUCCAGCAAUGCCGCGUGAGUGAUGAAGGCCUUAGGGUUGUAAAGCUCUUUUAACCGGGAUGAUAAUGACAGUACCGGGAGAAUAAGCCCCGGCUAACUCCGUG
RNAcentral lists this ribosomal RNA (433 nucleotides) under uncultured bacterium. RNAcentral's name for it is "partial 16S ribosomal RNA". It matches the Rfam family "Bacterial small subunit ribosomal RNA", at positions 29 to 507 of the family's 1533-position model. The record is from RNAcentral.